Long non-coding RNA from Cyprinus carpio carpio, 1125 nucleotides. NCBI's taxonomy places the organism in Eukaryota, Metazoa, Chordata, Actinopteri, Cypriniformes, Cyprinidae. The record is from Ensembl.
UCCCAAUAUUAAGACCAUCUCUGGUGACAGUCCUCUGUGGUUCCAUAUCACUUCUCACAUGAGCUUUAAAGUGCACUUACAUAUGGAACUUGGCUGGAAGUGAUGGUUUAUGGUUUAAAAACUUUAAAAUAUUAGAAUUUUCUUACAUCACUUGUUCUAUGUAUGCGAGGUGCAUAACACAAAGGUGACAGACAAUAGAGCUCAUCUGGAUCAACCCUGGAGGUCCUGUACACAUUAUACAGAUUCACAAAAAUCUAUUAUUUUUCUUACAAUUUGAAGAAUGAAAGCCCUACAGAUCUGGGAUGGCAUGAGGGUGAGUAAAUGAUCAGAGAAUUUUUGGGUGGAUCAUUCCUUUAAAAGACAAUCAAACCUUCUGGAUGAGGAACAAUGCAACGCAUAUCUCUAUUCCCUUCGAACCUCCUUCACUCUUCCUCCCUAAAGUGGUUUAAAUCUGCUGGGCUGCAAGGGGUCAAGCAACAGAGAUGGAAGUCUUCCUGGUGAAGCACACCAACCUUUUAAAUGAAAACAAGCUCUGUGUUGUCCUGAAACAGAAUUUUCUAGUAUCCUCUGGCAGUGCAAAGUCACAGAUGCUCAUCCUUUGCCUUGAAAACAAAGUAAAGCUUAACUUUCUUCAACCCUUGCAGAAACCACUCGUUCCAGAUGUGUGGAUGGGCCGUUCUUUUAUGCCAUUAGUGCAUUAACCCCUGACCAUUUUGAAAGACCCGACCGGUUUCCUGCCCCCUCAAGGAAACAAAAACAGCUUAAAAUGCGCCAUGUGGUGUUUUCCAAAUAGGAAACUCAUCGCAGAGAUCUUCAAAGGAGUUUGCUGGAGGACUUCUGGAUUACAGCAAGUCACACAGAAGGAAGCAUCGCUGCCAAACACCCCCACAUUUGGCAGCUGAACUGUAGCCAUCCAUGGAGAUAGUAUGUGUUUGCGAACGUGUGUGUAUCCACCAAGUGCCAAUACUCGGAGAUCUGGCACAUCACCUGUUGCCGUGUGUGCGCUCGUGCUGCCGAGGGGAACCAUCGCUUGGCCAGUGUUUAUGUUUGUAUCAUUUUCCUGUCCCUGAAACAGACGGCCGUCGCCUUCUCCAGAGGAAACGCAAGCUAAAACAAAGCCAAACG